UACAGAGUUCCCAAGCGUUGUUCGGAUUCACUGGGCGUAAAGGGUGCGUAGGUGGUUAGGUAAGUCCGAUGUGAAAUCUCCAGGCUCAACCUGGAAAUGGCAUUGGAUACUAUUUAGCUUGAGGAGUGGAGGGGGGACUGGAAUUCUCGGUGUAGCAGUGAAAUGCGUAGAUAUCGAGAGGAACACCAGUGGCGAAGGCGAGUCCCUGGACACUUCCUGACACUGAGGCACGAAAGCUAGGGGAGCAAACAGG
RNAcentral lists this ribosomal RNA (253 nucleotides) under uncultured bacterium. RNAcentral describes it as "partial 16S ribosomal RNA". It matches the Rfam family "Bacterial small subunit ribosomal RNA", at positions 524 to 776 of the family's 1533-position model. The record is from RNAcentral.